GCCACGGUGGCCGAGUGGUUAAGGCGGCAGAUUUAAGCUCUGCUACAGAAAUGUGCAUGCGUUCGAACCGCAUCCGUGGCA
RNAcentral lists this transfer RNA (81 nucleotides) under Neofusicoccum parvum UCRNP2. RNAcentral's name for it is "tRNA-Leu (TAA) (tRNA-Leu-TAA-1-1)". It matches the Rfam family "tRNA". Rfam says of the family: Transfer RNA (tRNA) molecules are approximately 80 nucleotides in length. Their secondary structure includes four short double-helical elements and three loops (D, anti-codon, and T loops). Lineage: Eukaryota; Fungi; Ascomycota; Dothideomycetes; Botryosphaeriales; Botryosphaeriaceae. The record is from RNAcentral.